This 468-nucleotide ribosomal RNA is filed under the name uncultured bacterium. RNAcentral describes it as "partial 16S ribosomal RNA". It matches the Rfam family "Bacterial small subunit ribosomal RNA", at positions 28 to 507 of the family's 1533-position model. The record is from RNAcentral.
GACGAACGCUGGCGGCGUGCUUAACACAUGCAAGUCGAACGGAAAGGCCCUGCUUUUGUGGGGUGCUCGAGUGGCGAAAGGGUGAGUAACACGUGAGUAACCUGCCCUUGACUUUGGGAUAACUUCAGGAGACUGGGGCUAAUACAGGAUAGGAGCUCCUGCUGCAUGGUGGGGGUUGGAAAGUUUCGGCGGUUGGGGAUGGACUCGCGGCUUAUCAGCUUGUUGGUGGGGUAGUGGCUUACCAAGGCGUUGACGGGUAGCCGGCCUGAGAGGGUGACCGGCCACAUUGGGACUGAGAUACGGCCCAGACUCCUACGGGAGGCAGCAGUGGGGAAUAUUGCACAAUGGGCGGAAGCCUGAUGCAGCAACGCCGCGUGCGGGAUGACGGCCUUCGGGUUGUAAACCGCUUUCGCCUGUGACGAAGCGUGAGUGACGGUAAUGGGUAAAGAAGCACCGGCUAACUACGUG